CUGGCAAAUUUCCAACAUAUAUUAUCAACUACUAUUCUAUACAAAGAAAGAUAACUCCAAUUGAAAAUUAAUUGCUAUUGCACAAUACUUGAUAUGGAAUCCUGAUUUGGACCAACUUGAAAACUGGGCCCAUAAUCAAAAAUCAAAGUACAUAUUUAAAUAAAGCAUCUCAAAUAAGCCCAAGAAUUUAAUUUUUGUUAAAAUCAAACUUAGUUUAAUUUUGGACCCUUUGGACCUUAAUGUAGACCAAUUUGAAAACUGGACCAAA
This 268-nucleotide long non-coding RNA is filed under the name Mytilus galloprovincialis (Mediterranean mussel). Lineage: Eukaryota; Metazoa; Mollusca; Bivalvia; Mytilida; Mytilidae. The record is from RNAcentral.